Long non-coding RNA from Oncorhynchus tshawytscha (Chinook salmon), 769 nucleotides. The record is from Ensembl. NCBI's taxonomy places the organism in Eukaryota, Metazoa, Chordata, Actinopteri, Salmoniformes, Salmonidae.
CCGGGGAGGAUGGAGGAAGGUCUGGGAAAGGGAGAGGAUGCGGGGAGGUCUGGGAGAGGAGACAAGGGAGGAUGGGGAAGUUCUGGGAGAGGGAGAGGAGACAGGGAAGGAUGGUGGAGGUCUGGGAGAGGGAGAGGAGACGGGGAGGAUGGAAAGAGCUCUCGGUGAGGUGAGGAGACAGGGGAGGAUGGGGGAAGUCUGAGAAAGGGGGAGGAUGCGGGGAGGUCUGGGAGAGGGAGAGGAGAUAGGGGAGGAUGGGAGGAGGUCUGGGAGAGGGGGAGGAUGCGGGGAGGUUUGGGAGAGGGAGAGGAGACAGGGGAGGAUGGGAGAAGGUCUGGGAGAGGGAGAGGAGACGGGGAGGAUGGGAGGAGGUCUGGGAGAGGGAACGGAGACGGGAGGAUGGGAGGAGGUCUGGGAGAGGGAAAGGAGACGGGAGGAUGGGAGAAGGUCUGGGAGAGGGAAAGGAGACGGGAGGAUGGGAGAAGGUCUGGGAGAGGGAAAGGAGACGGGAGGAUGGGAGAAGGUCUGGGAGAGGGAAAGGAGACGGGAGGAUGGGAGAAGGUCUGGGAGAGGGGAGGAGACUGGUGAGGAUGGGGGAGGAAUGGGAAAGGAGACAGGGGAGGAUGGGCGAGGAAUGCGAAAGAAGACAGGGGAGAAUUGGGAGGGAGAGGGGGAGGAGAAGGUCUGUUGUGUCCUCCUACAUUGUGUGAUAGAACAUGUUGGGUUGCUCUGUAAAAGCGCUCUGUUGCUCCUACCACCCAUUUUGAGG